GCUGGGAGUACAGGUGUGAGCUACUGCACCUGACUCAGAUUUCUUUUGUGUAAAAUAACAAAUGACUAGAACAAAGAUGCUAGGGAGUCUUCUUUGAAACAAUCCUGUGUGUGCUUGUAAAAGAUGACAGGUUUCAUUUGGAAGAGGGAUGUCUGUGGGACAUUUGCUGCCUGCAGCUCCUCCAGCAGCUUCAAGAGGAAGGUCGUCCCACACUGCAGGGAGGUGGGUGGUGGACAGAGGUUACCAGGCAGCCUCAGCCUCCAUCUGCUUGGGAGCGUCAGCCUAGCCCGACAAGGGGUUUGGUGGGAGGUCAGAUCCUGACCAACCUGUGGCUACUGGCGCUGGGUGUCUUGCCCCUGUGACCUCACUUCCUCACCUGCAGGACAGAGAUGACUCCUGCUCAAUCUCACGCAUGGCGUUACCUCGAAUAACAAGUCAGGUGGCAGACACACACAGGCAUGAUCAUCAGUGACAAUGGCAGUGAGGCCACCAGGGCCCCCUGGCCAGGCUUGGCCCAAGGCUGCCCUGCCUUUGACUCUCUUAGCCUUGGGGUCAGGACAGGGAUGGCUCUGGGGGAGCCCAUGCUCUCUGCAUGGGAAGGGGUACGACUCCCCUUUUCACCCCACCCCCAGAGGAAGACCUCACACAUCUUGAUGAGGCCAUAGCAUUUGGCUACAUUGGGCCCAACCCCCGCACGUGGCCGCUGCUUAAACGCUGACUGUGAGUGAAGCCAUCUCUGAUCUCUCCCGCCUCCAGGGGUUUCCUGCUUCCCAGGUCUCAGGCUGAGUGCUCUCAGAAGCACCAGGGCCAGGGCAGACAGGGGGACGCAGCACACCCAUUCCUGGCAGACCCACGAACUAGCAACAGCCCAAAGCAGGCACCCUGCAGCAACUUUCAAAUCAGCGCCGCCCCCCACCCACUGCCAACACUCCUGGAAGGCACAGGCACCCGGCCACACACCCAUGACAUCCCUAACAGUUUUUUUUUUUUUUUUGAGAUGGAGUCUCGCUCUGUCGCCCAGGCUGGAGUGCAGUGGCGCGAUCUCGGCUCACUGCAAUCUCUGCCUCCUGGGUUCAUGCCAUUCUCCUGCCUCAGCCUCCUAAGUAGAUGGGACUACAGGCGCCCGCCACCACGCCCAGCUAAUUUUUUGUAUUUUUAGUAAUUUU
Molecule: long non-coding RNA, 1166 nt
Filed under: Homo sapiens (human)
Lineage: Eukaryota; Metazoa; Chordata; Mammalia; Primates; Hominidae
Description: HSALNT0235561
Source: RNAcentral